UCGGCAACGGAUAUCUUGGCUCUCGCAUCGAUGAAGAACGCAGCAAAAUGCGAUACUUGGUGUGAAUUGCAGAAUCCCGUGAACCAUCGAGUUUUUGAACGCAAGUUGCGCCCGAAGCCAUUAUGCUGAGGGCACGUCUGCCUGGGCGUCACGC
Molecule: ribosomal RNA, 154 nt
Filed under: Fraxinus velutina
Lineage: Eukaryota; Viridiplantae; Streptophyta; Magnoliopsida; Lamiales; Oleaceae
Description: 5.8S ribosomal RNA
Rfam family: 5.8S ribosomal RNA
About the family: 5.8S ribosomal RNA (5.8S rRNA) is a component of the large subunit of the eukaryotic ribosome.
Source: RNAcentral